CUCCCCUCUUAGUUCUUCCUCAUCGGAAGAUCCUCGCAUAAGCCAUCGUCUUCGUUUAAGCUCCCUGUGCCCGCCGGAAUUAGAGGCGAACCUGACCCGUGUAACUGGAGUGAGAUUUAGAAGUGAUAAGAGGAAUUCCAAUAUCAACAUAUCUCAUUGGAGAGUCAGUGUCACAGAAGGCAAUUGUUGGAAUAUUUCCCAGAGCAGAUUCCUUGAUAGGCUGCAGUUCUAGGAUCAGUGAGGAUGAGAAGACGUGGCUCACUAAAGGAUGUCUGAAGCUGAUUGGUGAAGGUUCCAGGGGUGUGCCUUCCAGCAAUAGCAUGAGCACCUGUGUACUGAGCAAACUUCAAGACAGCUCUCUGACCAUAUGGCCUUGCAGAUUGGACAAUAAUAUCCUGAGGAUUCUCAAUGGCAACGAUGACCCUAGCAGCUAGCUGAAGUUUCUCCCAAGUUUUACCAAGAUUGAUGAUGAAGAUACCUGGAUAAUUAAUACGUUAUGAGUUUCAGAAACAAUUCAUUGAUGUAAGAAGUCAUAAAAGCUGCAAUGGUUAUAUAUAAAAAAAGGUGAGAGAAAAAACAAGGAAGAACACAGAAAUUACUUAAUAUAGCCACAGUUCAAUCAAAGAAAUAAUUCAAAAAUAUAUCAAAUUUGUAAUAAAAGCAGUACUUAUAUGGAA
This is a long non-coding RNA of Phoenix dactylifera (date palm), 677 nucleotides long. RefSeq lists it as uncharacterized. The record is from RefSeq and is a predicted model, not a curated record. Lineage: Eukaryota; Viridiplantae; Streptophyta; Magnoliopsida; Arecales; Arecaceae.